CAACCCUCAGCGCCCUAGGCCUGGUGUUGGGGCGCUACCACCCCCCGGGGCGGUAGGCCCCUAAAUUCAUUGGCGAGCCCGCCAGCCUCCCGAGCGCAGUAAUUCUUCUCGCUCCGGGCCAGGCUGGCGCGGUCCUGCCGUUAAACCCCCCAAUUUUUUACAU
RNAcentral lists this unclassified non-coding RNA (163 nucleotides) under Tenuiappendicula alnicola. RNAcentral's name for it is "partial internal transcribed spacer 2". Lineage: Eukaryota; Fungi; Ascomycota; Sordariomycetes; Diaporthales; Sydowiellaceae. The record is from RNAcentral.